CCUACGGGUGGCAGCAGUGAGGAAUAUUGGUCAAUGGUCGGGAGACUGAACCAGCCAAGCCGCGUGAGGGAUGAAGGUACAGUGUAUCGUAAACCUCUUUUGUCAGGGAACAAAGGCGGGGACGUGUCCGCGGAGGAGUGGAACUGAAGAAAAAGCAUCGGGUAACUCCGUGCCAGCAGCCGCGGUAAUACGGAGGAUGCGAGCGUUAUCCGGAUUUAUUGGGUUUAAAGGGUGCGUAGGCGGUCUGUUAAGUCAGCGGUCAAAGCACGGGGCUCAACCCCGGCCUGCCGUUGAAACUGGCAGUCUCGAGUUGGCGAGAAGUAUGCGGAAUGCGCGGUGUAACGGUGAAAUGCAUAGAUAUCGCGCAGAACUCCGAUUGCGAAGGCAGCAUGCCGGCUCCACACUGACGCUGAGGCACGAAAGCGUGGGUAUCGAACAGGAUUAGAUACCCGAGUAGUC
RNAcentral lists this ribosomal RNA (459 nucleotides) under uncultured bacterium. Its description in RNAcentral is "partial 16S ribosomal RNA". It matches the Rfam family "Bacterial small subunit ribosomal RNA", at positions 338 to 795 of the family's 1533-position model. The record is from RNAcentral.